AUGACUCUGAUCUGCGUCCUCAUCUGGACUCUCCUCUGCUGCUGCUUCACAGAGUCCAGAGGUCAGGUCACAGUGACUCAGCCUGGAUCAGUGACUUCUGCUCUGGGAGGCUCCGUCACCAUCAGCUGUAAAACCAGUCACAAUAUUUACUCCAACUGUUUAGCCUGGUACCAACAGAGAGAUGGAGGAACUCCUAAACUGCUCAUUUAUUAUACUAGCACCAGACAAUCAGGAACACCAAGUCGUUUUACAGGCAGUGGAUCAAACUCUGACUUCAGUCUGACCAUCAGUGGAGUUCAGGCUGAAGAUGCAGCAGUUUAUUACUGUCAGAGUCUUCAUGUCAUCAACAGUCAGAAUGUGUUCACACAGUGA
This is a non-coding RNA of Cololabis saira (Pacific saury), 372 nucleotides long. NCBI's taxonomy places the organism in Eukaryota, Metazoa, Chordata, Actinopteri, Beloniformes, Belonidae. The record is from the annotation of a RefSeq genome assembly.